GAAUAUGGAGCGGCGAACGGGUGAGUAACACGUGGGCAACCUGCCCCUAGCUCUGGGACAACUCCGGGAAACCGGGGCUAAUACCGGAUACGACCUCGGAAGACAUCUUCUGCGGUGGAAAGUUUUUCGGCUAGGGAUGGGCCCGCGGCCUAUCAGCUUGUUGGUGAGGUAACGGCCCACCAAGGCGACGACGGGUAGCCGGCCUGAGAGGGCGACCGGCCACACUGGGACUGAGACACGGCCCAG
RNAcentral lists this ribosomal RNA (246 nucleotides) under uncultured bacterium. RNAcentral's name for it is "partial 16S ribosomal RNA". It matches the Rfam family "Bacterial small subunit ribosomal RNA", at positions 86 to 334 of the family's 1533-position model. The record is from RNAcentral.